ACCAAAAGAACGACCCGACACUAUACGUUUCCUUCUUCUUUGAUUUCUUCACGUUGCAGACAGCGAGCCAGACGCCCCAAAACCAGUUCAGCAAGAACAAGCCCAGCAGCCCAACGCGAGCGUUGUUGGUCGUCCCUUCUCUCCCUUAUCCUCCUCUCCGUAUAAAGCCGUUUUUGAGGAUAUCCAGGUGUCUAAAUCGAGUUACUCCUUCGUCUUUUUCUCAAAAAUCAAACGGAUGACAUUGGAAUUCCGUAGGUGAUUGAUACAAUUCGAGCUGACACCGUACCUCUUGAGAAAUUUGCAUUUCGAAUUUCAAAUUUUGAAUUCAUUAAAAAUCCCUCCCAAAUUCCCCCAAAGUCUGACCUAGAUUUUCUUUUAUAAAUUUCUCAUAUUUUUCUUUAUUGUAGGGGUGGGGAAAAAAUAGAGUCAAUGGGUUACAAAAAAAAAAAGAGGAAGAAAUCGGAAGAUAGUUUGUCUCCAGUAGCCACAUUUUUUAGAUUUUCUUUCUUUCGGAAGCUUUCGUCGGAGGUUCUAGAUUUUAUAGUAGUUUCAUCGAAUAUUGAUUCCAAAAAGAAUCAUGAGUUUCUUUUAAUCUUGGUUUCUCGCUUAUUCACUAUCCUCCGAAGUUAUCGGAUUCUCGUUGUUGUCGUGGGAAGCUUUUUCCCUGCUCGUCUGGUCUCAGUCGCUGCCCAGGAAGAGGUAAUGUUUCCUCUAUAAUACUCACUUCAUUUUUUUAUUUUUUUCUGCUUUGAUAUGGUGUUUCGAUGUAGUGAAUUCACGACUUUGUUGUUAGGUUGUCGUUAAUCGGUUUUGAAUGUUGAUAGCUUGUAUAUACGACAUGUAUGAUUAAGUAAUUCCUUUGGCUUAUUGUUGGCUAUCGAUUUGGUCUUUUAGCUUUAUCAUGACAAUUUCUAUAUUUCACUUCUCAAGCCUAUUUCGUUAUUUGCUUUCGAUUGUUGAGUCUACUUUUAUCCAUUUGCUUUACUUUCAAGCAUCUGUUUUUCUUCUCUUUAUUUUUUGGUUUUUAUUUUAGUCGUUUAGGUUUAUAUUAUAUUAAUAGUCAAUGUUUCCUUUGUCCUACUUGAAGCUUUUGUUUUGUUACCUAAGUAAAAUAUAUGGCAGAGCUCAUAGUUUCUUUCUUCAUUUUUUUUCACUAUAAAUUUCAUGCUCCUCUUUCCAUUUGGGUUUAUGUCUCAUGCUUGAGUUUGUGUUUCUAUUUAAAUGAUAUUUUUAUUUGAUUCACCAUUCUUCCUUAGGUUCUGUCGAUAUAGUAUAUGCAUAUGUGUGUUGUGUUUAUAGCUAGCUAUCAUACUCCAAAAUUUGAAAAUGUUUUCUGUAUGCUUGAAAUUGUUUGAAGAUUUAUGCCUCUGUAACUUUAUUGUUAGUUGCUAUUAUUGUGUGAUCCCAUUUAAAUUUUCUGUACUCUCUUGUUUGUAGUGGGAAUUUUGUUGGCAUUUUAUUUAUUUAUUUGGAUUACUACAAUGUUUGUAUAAGAUUUUGAGUUCAAAUUGAUGGAUAAUGUGUACUCCAUCGUUAAGUUUAUUUGAACUUGACAUUUGUGCCAGUGUGAACUAUAAAUUCAUUAUUUCCUGAACCUUUAAUUUGAUUUACGCCAUUGCUAAUCCUUAUCUUUUUUUUCUUUUUCUUUUCGGUGUGCCUAUAAAAUCUCGAUCGAGUUCAACGGAUUCAAUGAUCUAUCUCAUUGCAUUUCUUAAUGGGCCAUAAAAGCCCAAAGAUUUGUCUAGCAAGUCGUUAAGCAGGUUGCUGAAGGUUAAACAAAGCUGGAAUUCAAAAUUUCAAGCUCUGAAAUGCCGAAAAAGAGGUUUCAGAAUGUCUCAACAAGAUGGACAUGUUCAUGUUGUAUCAAUACAAUUUAUCAACAAGUUUGAUUAAAAAAUGAGAUUUUUUUAGAAAGGAUGAGAAGAACAAAUUUAUGAUAUAUCAACUAAUGUAUUUUGAAAUACCAAUUGAAGUGGUCAGUAACUUCUUUUACCAUCUCUUACUGUGGUGCCAAGAUCGAGAUAAGAUGAAGAGUAUGCUAAGUAGCAGAAUCAACAUUUUCUUGUGAUUUCCUUCUAAUAUAUAUCGAAUUUUCAUGUU
Molecule: long non-coding RNA, 2100 nt
Organism: Solanum pennellii
Lineage: Eukaryota; Viridiplantae; Streptophyta; Magnoliopsida; Solanales; Solanaceae
Exons: 2
Source: RefSeq, a predicted model, not a curated record